UACGGAGGGAGCUAGCGUUGUUCGGAAUUAUUGGGCGUAAGAGCUCGUAGGCGGUUUGUCGCGUCUGCUGUGAAAACUCGGGCUUAACUCGGCCGUGCAGUGGGUACGGCAGACUAGAGUGCGGUAGGGGAGACUGGAAUCUGUGUAGCGGUGAAAUGCGCAGAUAUCAAGGAGGAACACCGGUGGCGAAGGCGGGUCUCUGGGCCGUAACUGACGCUGAGGAGCGAAAGCGUGGGGGGAGCGAACAGG
This 249-nucleotide ribosomal RNA is filed under the name uncultured bacterium. RNAcentral describes it as "partial 16S ribosomal RNA". It matches the Rfam family "Bacterial small subunit ribosomal RNA", at positions 524 to 776 of the family's 1533-position model. The record is from RNAcentral.